CAACCCUCAGGCCCCCGGGCCUGGCGUUGGGGAUCGGCGGAGCCCUUCAGGGCACACGCCGUCCCCUAAAUCUAUUGGCGGUCUCGCUGCAGCCCACUGCGUAGUAUAUCACCUCGCAACUGGAAAGCGGCGCGGCCAUGCCGUAAAACACCCAACUUUUAUGA
RNAcentral lists this unclassified non-coding RNA (164 nucleotides) under uncultured Fusarium. RNAcentral describes it as "sequence contains ITS2". The record is from RNAcentral. Lineage: Eukaryota; Fungi; Ascomycota; Sordariomycetes; Hypocreales; Nectriaceae.